GCUUUUCUGGCUUAUUUAACAAAGCAGCCUUUAAGCUGCAUACGAGCAAAUAGCACAUGACAGUUUGCUGCUAAACGAGUCAAACCCUCACUAAUGGCCGCUUCAACACAGCUCCUGUUAUGCACCUGUGUUUGCUUUGGUUCACGGUAAUGCUUUGGCCAGAUCACUAGGCUUUUACUUUCAGGGUGACGUUGCUUGACGUCUGUGACGUCACACAGAAACACGGGGACGUAUAGACAAACAAAAGGGAAAAAUCGCGCUCCUCAGUUCAGGUUCCUUCCGUGUGAAUGUUAGGAAAUAUAGCCUGGUUUCCAUCACGUGCACUGUGGAUUAGCGUUGUAUCAUGUUUUUUUUAUCCUAGUUUUCUUUAGUAAAACAAACUGAAGUACAAUUUGGUUGGCUACAGCUGUAACUCACUUUAUUAAUUACACCCAUAAUACGCAUCUUUUUUAUUCUUUUGGGCCCAUUUAUGCACUGUUGCGGAGAGUCGGUAGCUAACUUGUACUUGGGGGGUCACAUUUAGCCGAAUGUUAAGCUAACGCUAUAUCACAUCACUGCCAAUGAUAAGGAACAGGCGAAGCCCAUUUAACACAGUUACACAGUAACACACGGAAACAACAGCAACGCACACAUUUCUAUCAGAAGAGGCAACUGAAGCUGUUAAUGCAACGCUUUGAGUUACUGCGUCACGCCAGCUAGCCAAACGAGCUAACAGCUAGCUAACGUUUGUUCUGGCAUGUGGGAAAGUAGACAACAACACGGAGGAAGAAGACGCAAGAAAGAGAUGGCAGUACCAACCACAGAGCUGCAGCGGAGGCCUGUACCUGUCCUGCCCCACAACGCCCUGCACAUCAAACCUGCCGUCCCAUGUUCCUCCGGUCGGACUCUCGGGGCGCGUGCACAGACACACUGUUGGCUCGACUUGGCCUCUAGACACUGGUUAAGCUGUUUGUGAGCAUUGGUGGCUGCUUUAGUGAUGGCUGGCGAUGAUGAAGGAAGCCCUGCGGACGGUGACAUCCACCUGCUGGCUUUAAAAGCGAUAAACACGCAACCUGACUGAAUAUAAAGCUAGCUAGCUUUAAGCUAAUGCGAUUCCUUUCACAUCAGCUUGGUCCACAAAAUGCUUCAGGUCACAUUUUUUAUAAACUGAUUACUUCCUGGAACAAUAGAAAUCUGCAGUUCUAGACAAGAAUAAGAAAAACAUGUAAAUAUAAAAGUUACUAAUGAUUUCAUCCUUGCAUUUUAGCCUUGAUGUAUUUGUUUUGCCUUAUUUUGACUCAUAGAAACAAAGGACAUGUCAGGAUGUCAGACAGCAUAACCACAAAUAACAUUAGCAAACCACACACCUUGACAUAUACAAAAGACUUGCACCAAGAAAAAUCCAACACAAAACAGUGACUCAGUGACUCACUGAGUGCAUACGUGGUGUGGAAUAAAAGAGGGAUCUGGGCCA
RNAcentral lists this long non-coding RNA (1453 nucleotides) under Betta splendens (Siamese fighting fish). RNAcentral describes it as "lncRNA (ENSBSLG00000016191.1)". The record is from RNAcentral. Lineage: Eukaryota; Metazoa; Chordata; Actinopteri; Anabantiformes; Osphronemidae.